UACAGAGGGUGCAAGCGUUGUUCGGAAUUAUUGGGCGUAAAGCGCGUGUAGGCGGCUAAGUAAGUCGGGCGUGAAAUCCCACGGCUCAACCGUGGAAGUGCACUCGAAACUGCAUAGCUAGAGUCCUGGAGAGGAAGGUGGAAUGCUUGGUGUAGAGGUGAAAUUCGUAGAUAUUCGCAAGAACACCAGUGGCGAAGGCGGCUCACUGGCCCGAUACUGACGCUGAGGCACGAAAGCGUGGGGAGCAAACAGG
This 253-nucleotide ribosomal RNA is filed under the name uncultured bacterium. RNAcentral describes it as "partial 16S ribosomal RNA". It matches the Rfam family "Bacterial small subunit ribosomal RNA", at positions 524 to 776 of the family's 1533-position model. The record is from RNAcentral.